RNAcentral lists this long non-coding RNA (1075 nucleotides) under Marmota monax (woodchuck). Lineage: Eukaryota; Metazoa; Chordata; Mammalia; Rodentia; Sciuridae. The record is from RNAcentral.
UUGCAUGCCCUUAAUCCAAUUUCCUUCAGUGGAAACAUAUAACUAUGAUAUGCUGUCAAAACAAGGAAAUGAGAAGUGAACAUUAGCACAAUUCACACAUUAUUCAGAUUUCAUUGGUUUUUGUAUAUACUGUGUGUGUGUGUGUGUGUGUGUGUGUGUAGGUCUAUGCAAUUCUACCAUAUGUACUCACCAUCACAAUUAAGAUAUAAAGCUGGUUCAUCAUAACAAUCCUCAUGCUACCCCUUAUAGUCACAGCUGUCUCCAGCCUCUCACCCCACCCCAUUUGUAACUUCCGGACCAGUGAUCUGUUCUCGAUCUCUAUUAUUCUGUCAUUUGAGAAUGUUACAUAAACGGAGUCAUACACUUUAUAGACUUUUGGGAUUUGCAUUUUUCUUCUGCAUAGUUCUCUUGAGAUCUAUCCAAAUUGUGUAUAUCUAUAGUUUGUUUCUUUUUAUCUUUGAGUAGUAUCGGAUAGUACACGUGCAGUACGGUUUGUUUAUUCAUUCAUUGAAGGACUUUUGAGUUGUUUCCACUACUAUGAAUAUUUACAUGUUUUUGUGUGGAUACAAGUUUUCACUUGUCUGGAUUAAUGUCCAGAAGUACAAUUGGGAAGAAAGGAAGGAAGAAACAAACAAACCCAAGAAAUUGUUUUCUAGAGAGGUUGCUAUUUUACAUGCCCAGACUAACUUUUUAUGAAGCAUAGAAGUAUUAUUAAAAAUAAGUAGCAAAUCUUUCAGAGGCAUGCAAUAAUUUUUUUUUCUUUUAAAAUAUGAUAUGAGAGCUGUAGAUGUGGCUUAGUGGUAGAGGGCUUGCAUGGCAUUCAUGAGGUCCUGGGUUUGACCCUCAGCGCUAAAAAAUAAAAACCAAAAAGAAUUGGGCAGGAAAAAUGUAAUUAACCAUUAAUUAUAUGUCAAAGAAGGCUCUGUUUUACAUGUUGCUUUUAUUUAUUUAUUUAUUUUUAAUAUUUACUUUUUAGUUUUUUAGGUGGACACAAUAUCUUUAUUUUAUUUUUAUGUGGUGCUGAGGAUCGAAUCCAGUGCCUCACACAUGCCAGGCGAGCAUGCUUCCACAUCCC